AAGAAGGAAGGCUUAACCCCCAC
RNAcentral lists this non-coding RNA (23 nucleotides) under Cricetulus griseus (Chinese hamster). Lineage: Eukaryota; Metazoa; Chordata; Mammalia; Rodentia; Cricetidae. The record is from RNAcentral.